This 372-nucleotide long non-coding RNA is filed under the name Mytilus galloprovincialis (Mediterranean mussel). The record is from RNAcentral. Lineage: Eukaryota; Metazoa; Mollusca; Bivalvia; Mytilida; Mytilidae.
UGGUAGAUAAUGUUUGUAAUAAAUAUUUUUUGGCAGAUGGAUCAAAACUAGAGUUGAAAAUAAAUAAAAAAUAAAUGCUGAAUGUACUAAUUUUUUUUACUACAGGGUUGAAAAGUAAUGGGGGUCAGUAUAGGAAUUCAGUGCGAAUCUACAUUGUUUGUAAACAAGGCCAUGUGAAUGCCCAAAAAUGCCGCAUGACCCUAUGUUUUUAUUAGUGCAAAAGAUAGGGCUACAUUUGUACUUUCAUGAAUGUUAUAUGAAAGUUUCCAAUUUCUAAAGGUAAAUCAGGUAUAAAUUUAAUUCCAUACAUAGAUUAGCAUUAAAGUCAAUGGGAGAUUUUUUACUGAAUUUACCCCUAUAGGAAAAUAUGCA